AUUGAACGCUGGCGGAAUGCUUUACACAUGCAAGUCGAACGGCAGCACGGACUUCGGUCUGGUGGCGAGUGGCGAAAGGGUGAGUAAUACAUCGGAACGUGCCCAGUCGUGGGGGAUAACGUAGCGAAAGCUACGCUAAUACCGCAUACGAUCUAAGGAUGAAAGCGGGGGAUCGCAAGACCUCGCGCGAUUGGAGCGGCCGAUGGCAGAUUAGGUAGUUGGUAGGGUAAAGGCCUACCAAGCCGACGAUCUGUAGCUGGUCUGAGAGGAUGGUCAGCCACACUGGGACUGAGACACGGCCCAGACUCCUACGGGAGGCAGCAGUGUGGAAUUUGGGACAAUGGGCGCAAGCCUGAUCCAGCCAUUCCGCGUGCAGGAUGAAGGCCUUCGGGUUGUAAACUGCUUUUGUACAGAACGAAAAGGCUCUGGUUAAUACCCGGGGCUCAUGACGGUACUGUAAGAAUAAGCACCGGCUAACUACGUGCCAGCCGCCGCCGUAA
This 500-nucleotide ribosomal RNA is filed under the name uncultured bacterium. RNAcentral's name for it is "partial 16S ribosomal RNA". It matches the Rfam family "Bacterial small subunit ribosomal RNA", at positions 30 to 523 of the family's 1533-position model. The record is from RNAcentral.